This 70-nucleotide small RNA is filed under the name Salmonella enterica. RNAcentral describes it as "partial RtT sRNA". It matches the Rfam family "RtT RNA", at positions 57 to 130 of the family's 130-position model. Rfam says of the family: This family represents a bacterial cis-regulatory element known as RtT RNA. The exact function of RtT is unknown although it is thought that it may be involved in changing the cellular response in relation to amino acid starvation. RNAcentral also lists the same sequence under 2 other names. The record is from RNAcentral. Lineage: Bacteria; Pseudomonadati; Pseudomonadota; Gammaproteobacteria; Enterobacterales; Enterobacteriaceae.
GAAGGAUAACGUUGCGUCAGCAACGGCCCGUAGGGCAAGGCGAAGCCGAGUCAUCCUGCACGACCCACCA